Molecule: ribosomal RNA, 491 nt
Filed under: uncultured bacterium
Lineage: Bacteria
Description: partial 16S ribosomal RNA
Rfam family: Bacterial small subunit ribosomal RNA
Source: RNAcentral
AGUGAACGCUGGCGGUAGGCCUAACACAUGCAAGUCGAACGGCAGCACAGUAAGAGCUUGCUCCUACGGGUGGCGAGUGGCGGACGGGUGAGGAAUACAUCGGAAUCUACUUUUUCGUGGGGGAUAACGUAGGGAAACUUACGCUAAUACCGCAUACGACCUACGGGUGAAAGCAGGGGAUCUUCGGACCUUGCGCGAUUGAAUGAGCCGAUGUCGGAUUAGCUAGUUGGCGGGGUAAAGGCCCACCAAGGCGACGAUCCGUAGCUGGUCUGAGAGGAUGAUCAGCCACACUGGAACUGAGACACGGUCCAGACUCCUACGGGAGGCAGCAGUGGGGAAUAUUGGACAAUGGGCGCAAGCCUGAUCCAGCCAUACCGCGUGGGUGAAGAAGGCCUUCGGGUUGUAAAGCCCUUUUGUUGGGAAAGAAAAGCAGCAGGUUAAUACCCCGCUGUUCUGACGGUACCCAAAGAAGAAGCACCGGCGAACUUCGU